Non-coding RNA from Picea glauca (white spruce), 154 nucleotides. The record is from Rfam. NCBI's taxonomy places the organism in Eukaryota, Viridiplantae, Streptophyta, Pinopsida, Pinales, Pinaceae.
GACUCUCAACAAUGGAUAUCUUGAUUCUUGUCACGAUGAAGAACGUAGAGAAAUGCGAUACUUAGUGUGAAUUGCAGAAUCCCGUGAAUCAUCGAUUUUUUGAAUGCAAUUUGCGCCCAAGGCUUCGGUCGAGGGCACAUCUGUCUGGGCGUUA